This 497-nucleotide ribosomal RNA is filed under the name uncultured bacterium. RNAcentral describes it as "partial 16S ribosomal RNA". It matches the Rfam family "Bacterial small subunit ribosomal RNA", at positions 28 to 507 of the family's 1533-position model. The record is from RNAcentral.
GAUGAACGCUGGCGGCGUGCCUAAUACAUGCAGGUCGAGCGAACAGACGAGGAGCUUGCUCCUCUGACGUUAGCGGCGGACGGGUGAGUAACACGUGGAUAACCUACCUAUAAGACUGGGAUAACUUCGGGAAACCGGAGCUAAUACCGGAUAAUAUAUUGAACCGCAUGGUUCAAUAGUGAAAGACGGUUUUGCUGUCACUUAUAGAUGGAUCCGCGCCGCAUUAGCUAGUUGGUAAGGUAACGGCUUACCAAGGCGACGAUGCGUAUCCGACCUGAGAGGGUCAUCGGCCACACUGGAACUGAGACACGUUCCAGACUCCUACGGGAGGCAGCAGUAGGGAAUCUUCCGCAAUGGGCGAAAGCCUGACGGAGCAACGCCGCGUGAGUGAUGAAGGUCUUCGGAUCGUAAAACUCUGUUAUUAGGGAAGAACAAAUGUGUAAGUAACUAUGCACGUCUUGACGGUACCUAAUCAGAAAGCCACGGCUAACUACGUG